UGAUACCCUAUUAUAAAAAUUUAAAUUAAUUUACUAAAAAAUUAAUAGUUAAGUUCUUUAAAUUUAAAAAAUUUGGCGGUAUUUUAGUCUUAUUAGAGGAACCUGUUUAUUAAUUGAUAAUCCACGAUUAAUUUUACUUAUUUUAAUUAAUUCAUAUAUCGCUGUCAUGAAUAUAUUUAAAAAUUUAUUUUCUUUUUUUAUUUUUAUAAUUUAUGUUAAGUCAAGAUGUGGUUUAUAAAUAAGAAUAUAAUGGGUUACAAUAAAUUUAAUUUUUGGAUUUUAAAUGAAAAUUAAAAUGAAAUUGGAUUUAAUAGUAAAUUUAUUUA
Molecule: ribosomal RNA, 326 nt
Filed under: Aphis craccivora (cowpea aphid)
Lineage: Eukaryota; Metazoa; Arthropoda; Insecta; Hemiptera; Aphididae
Description: partial 12S ribosomal RNA
Source: RNAcentral